AACUCAUUGAUUCCAGAUUUCCUCGUGAAGAGAAUCAGGCAGAAAACAGAAGUGACUCCAGUGUGUGACACAAACAGCACUGUGGAUAUCAUCACACUUCUUACAUGUAAGAUCAGAACAGAGCGGAGCAGGGCUGAACCCUGUUCUCUGGUCUACCAGUAUGAUGGACAUGGAUUCAGCUUUGAUCAGGGAUGUGGCUCCAGCUUCUUCCUUACUGGAAACAAUCAGACAGCGCUUCUCCACUUCCAUGAUUUGACUGCAGCUGACAGCGGGAACAUCACCUGUUCAUGUGCAUACCAAGGACGAGUGCAUAAUCUUCAUCUCAGCAUCACUGUGGAAGCUUCAGAAGAGGAAGAAUUCACCACAGGUAUGAGAAUAACAAUGAUCAUCCGUGGUUCAGUUGUGGCUUUUUUUCUCAUUGUGACCUCAGUGAUGCUGGUGUUCUUCUGCAGAAAACAACAUCCAAGAAAAACAACCAGAUACAGUGAGAAAACCUCCCAACAUGGACGGUGCAGACGUGGGGCCGUACAGCACCUUCAUCCCCACUGA
RNAcentral lists this long non-coding RNA (549 nucleotides) under Salarias fasciatus (jewelled blenny). RNAcentral describes it as "lncRNA (ENSSFAG00005003329.1)". Lineage: Eukaryota; Metazoa; Chordata; Actinopteri; Blenniiformes; Blenniidae. The record is from RNAcentral.